This 1371-nucleotide ribosomal RNA is filed under the name uncultured bacterium. RNAcentral's name for it is "bacterial SSU rRNA". It matches the Rfam family "Bacterial small subunit ribosomal RNA", at positions 28 to 1381 of the family's 1533-position model. The record is from RNAcentral.
GAUGAACGCUGGCGGCGUGCCUAAUACAUGCAAGUCGAGCGAACGGACGAGAAGCUUGCUUCUCUGAUGUUAGCGGCGGACGGGUGAGUAACACGUGGAUAACCUACCUAUAAGACUGGGAUAACUUCGGGAAACCGGAGCUAAUACCGGAUAAUAUUUUGAACCGCAUGGUUCAAAAGUGAAAGACGGUCUUGCUGUCACUUAUAGAUGGAUCCGCGCUGCAUUAGCUAGUUGGUAAGGUAACGGCUUACCAAGGCAACGAUGCAUAGCCGACCUGAGAGGGUGAUCGGCCACACUGGAACUGAGACACGGUCCAGACUCCUACGGGAGGCAGCAGUAGGGAAUCUUCCGCAAUGGGCGAAAGCCUGACGGAGCAACGCCGCGUGAGUGAUGAAGGUCUUCGGAUCGUAAAACUCUGUUAUUAGGGAAGAACAUAUGUGUAAGUAACUGUGCACAUCUUGACGGUACCUAAUCAGAAAGCCACGGCUAACUACGUGCCAGCAGCCGCGGUAAUACGUAGGUGGCAAGCGUUAUCCGGAAUUAUUGGGCGUAAAGCGCGCGUAGGCGGUUUUUUAAGUCUGAUGUGAAGCCCACGGCUCAACCGUGGAGGGUCAUUGGAAACUGGAAAACUUGAGUGCAGAAGAGGAAAGUGGAAUUCCAUGUGUAGCGGUGAAAUGCGCAGAGAUAUGGAGGAACACCAGUGGCGAAGGCGACUUUCUGGUCUGUAACUGACGCUGAUGUGCGAAAGCGUGGGGAUCAAACAGGAUUAGAUACCCUGGUAGUCCACGCCGUAAACGAUGAGUGCUAAGUGUUAGGGGGUUUCCGCCCCUUAGUGCUGCAGCUAACGCAUUAAGCACUCCGCCUGGGGAGUACGACCGCAAGGUUGAAACUCAAAGGAAUUGACGGGGACCCGCGCAAGCGGUGGAGCAUGUGGUUUAAUUCGAAGCAACGCGAAGAACCUUACCAAAUCUUGACAUCCUUUGACAACUCUAGAGAUAGAGCCUUCCCCUUCGGGGGACAAAGUGACAGGUGGUGCAUGGUUGUCGUCAGCUCGUGUCGUGAGAUGUUGGGUUAAGUCCCGCAACGAGCGCAACCCUUAAGCUUAGUUGCCAUCAUUAAGUUGGGCACUCUAAGUUGACUGCCGGUGACAAACCGGAGGAAGGUGGGGAUGACGUCAAAUCAUCAUGCCCCUUAUGAUUUGGGCCACACACGUGCUACAAUGGACAAUACAAAGGGCAGCGAAACCGCGAGGUCAAGCAAAUCCCAUAAAGUUGUUCUCAGUUCGGAUUGUAGUCUGCAACUCGACUACAUGAAGCUGGAAUCGCUAGUAAUCGUAGAUCAGCAUGCUACGGUGAAUACGUUCCCGGGUCU